AGAUAUUAAGUUUCUAAACCGGAGGACCCUGGACUUGCCUUAUUUGGAGUUUUCCAACUUUGGAUCUUUACAAACGUAUGUGUGGCAACCAGGGGAGCUUCUACAUCAUCUAGAAGGCCUUAAGAGAAUAUUUAUGUGCAGAAAGGACCAUUGGAUCAGGUGGAUCCAAUCUUACCCAACCAUACAUCAAGACUUACUAAAUAUAGACCCGAGAGCAUUCAAUGCCCAUCCCCAACGGCUAUGUUCUGAUUUGAGGCAUCGAAUGAGCGUUUCCAUAAGGCUUCUCAAUCAUGGUUACACCCAGAAGCUGUCUAGAUACAAAGGAGGCGAGCACACCUUCCAUUUAUGGCCUAAAUCCGCCAUAAAAGCUCCAACGGCCACAAGAUCAAGGCACCAUCAACACUUGAUCAUGUAUCAAUUAAUUUUGUGUAUUUUAUUUCUUAUUUAAGCUUUUAGACCGUUUUCUACUGUCCUAGAGUCGAGCCUAUAUAAGCUCAAGUCAUUUCAUUGUAAUAC
Molecule: long non-coding RNA, 516 nt
Filed under: Arabidopsis lyrata
Lineage: Eukaryota; Viridiplantae; Streptophyta; Magnoliopsida; Brassicales; Brassicaceae
Description: long non-coding RNA (ALYR_LNC001656)
Source: RNAcentral